RNAcentral lists this ribosomal RNA (520 nucleotides) under uncultured Acaulospora. RNAcentral describes it as "SSU rRNA". It matches the Rfam family "Eukaryotic small subunit ribosomal RNA", at positions 569 to 1086 of the family's 1831-position model. Lineage: Eukaryota; Fungi; Glomeromycota; Glomeromycetes; Diversisporales; Acaulosporaceae. The record is from RNAcentral.
AGCAGCCGCGGUAAUUCCAGCUCCAAUAGCGUAUAUUAAAGUUGUUGCAGUUAAAAAGCUCGUAGUUGAAUUUCGGGAUUUGUCAGUUGGUCGGGCUUCACUGUCCGUACUGACUUGAUGGAUUCUUACCUUCUGAAUAACCAGCAUGCUAUUAAGUUAGUGCGUUGGGGAAGCAGAUCUAUUACCUUGAAAAAAUUGAGUGCUUAAAGCGGGCUAGUGCUUGAAUAGAUUAGCAUGGAAUAAUAAAAUAGGACGGCAUGGUUCUAUUUUGUGGUUUCUAGGAUCACCGUAAUGAUUAAUAGGGAUAGUUGGGGCAUUAGUAUUCAAUUGUCAGAGGUGAAAUUCUUGGAUUUAUUGAAGACUAACUUCUGCGAAAGCAAUUUUGCCAAGGAUGUUUUCAUUAAUCAAGAACGAAAGUUAGGGGAUCGAAGACGAUCAGAUACCGUCGUAGUCUUAACCAUUAAACCUAUGCCGACUAGGAAUCGGACGUAAGUUAAUUUUANAAUGACUCGUUCGGCUA